Long non-coding RNA from Panicum virgatum (switchgrass), 2121 nucleotides. RefSeq lists it as uncharacterized. The record is from RefSeq and is a predicted model, not a curated record. The transcript is spliced from 3 exons. Lineage: Eukaryota; Viridiplantae; Streptophyta; Magnoliopsida; Poales; Poaceae.
UCCCGGUGCCCGGGUCUGAUACUCGCCGCACCCCUCCUCCGCUCCAGGCCCGCACCGCCACUGCCGGGGACGAGGGCGCCUCCCUCCGCGUGCGCCUCGCCGAUGACGACGCGUCGCCGCGGGAGGCGCCCAAUUUCCCCGCGACAGGAGGGGAGGGGCGCGAGCGUCUCUGAGGAACCCGCGCGCUUCACAAGUUCGCCGCCGUGGAAGGAGGCGAAUUUGCCCAGGGACGUGAGGGGGAGAGGAAGGCCGUCCCCCUCGCAUCACCUUCCCCCUACCCGACGCGGGCUCAUCGCGCCUCACUCCCCCACCUGAAGCUCGGACCCCUCGCGCCUCCCGUGCGCCACUCGACGCCGCCUCUGGCGCGAGACCUCACGGCCCGACGCUUCCGAGACCGCGGCGCCUCCAUGCUCCUCCACCGCACGACUUGUUCGUUCAGAAGAGUUUGGAUCGUCGGCCUCGACGGCUUCCAGAUCGGCAUCAAACCGUCCAGGACCUCUACAACGGCAUCCGCGAGGUACGUGUCCGCAAGAUGGGUGUGCGUAUUUGACACUGAUUCCGAUUUUCUGGUUUGCUCUCUAAUCUGUAUGGGAAUUCCUCAUUGCUCGAUCUGCAGCCUGUAUAGACGAGUUUUGUACUUCAUAGUCAAGCUAAUUGCACGUUCUGAUGCUAGUUUACUUGAAUGGAGCAGAUAAUCUUGUCGUGAAAAAAAAUAGAACAGAUUUAGUUAGCUUAUGGUAUGGUAUGCAGUUGGAAAUUGAUUUGUUUAGAGUUAAGGUGCGAACAUGGUCAUUGUUCAUUUGUCUUAUUUAGAGCAGAUAAUCUUAUUUAGAGUUUAGAGCAGAUAAUCUUAUUUAUUGAGGGCUUAUACAGGCUUCCAAGUGAUAAAAACAGGACUUGCUUUCUGUUUGGUUCCUGUUUUUGUUUGAUCACAAUUUGGGUAGUGGUGUGUGGGAGGAUAGCCUAUUUAGGAUCUGACUAAUCUAUUACUCUUGAACAUCUCUUGCAUCUUCCAGUAUCCUUCUUGGAGUAUCCUUCUUAAAGAUAAUUGAGCAUCUCCUUUCAUUUCUCUUAUGUGUUACAUGGUUAUUAAGUUGAGUGCUUCCAUGCUGAUCAAAUUUAGUUCAUCUGAAAUUCUAUCACUAAAAUUGGAGAUCAUACCAAUGCCACAAUUGUCAACUCAAUAAAAAUUAUUUCUAUGCACUUGGCAAUGUAACCAUUGCAAUUGAGAAACAAAGUUCCAGUAUCCUACAGGCAAUUGAGUUUAUUUGCAGCGACUUUUCUCCUGCACUUCUUAGGCCUUUGAAUAUAUGAUCUGAGGGUGGAAGAUGAAUUAAGAACCUGCAUUGCAUAUGUUUACUGUGUUUGUUUCCUUCCCUGCAUCACUCAAAUGUCAAGAGAUUUUCUAAAGUUCCAAAGAUCUGAGUUCGUGUUAUAUCACUCAACUUGGUACAGCUGAACGAAUACAAAAUAUUAAAAUAAUCUACUGAAUCAGCGGCUCAUACAGAUUGAAAUGGUUCUUAUCUGCACUGAACUAUUAGAUCAGGUUCUUGGCUAUAAUACUGCACCUUUAGUUUAUAUGGUGAAUUUAUCAUUAAUGUGAAAACUUAGCAUGAGAAAAAGUAGACAGUGGUGUCAGGUUACAGAGGAGCAGAUGAUAUUGGCGUCCAAGGAACCGAAGGUACUUUCAGGAGUCGCAUCUGGUGCAACAUAAGCGAACAGUGCCACAGGACUUUCGUGCUUCUGAGGUGAACACCCAGUGUGCAAAGUGAAUUCAGGACCCAUACAUGUAGACUUCUGUCUAUGCUGUGCCAAGUUCGUUCGUCGGAACGCAGAUGGGUGGAACAUUGAAGACCCAGACGAGUAGACUUGUAGAUUUCUGGAUUGCACAUUCGAAGACUGAGUGUGUAAUUCAUCUUCAUACUUAAGUAUUGUAGUUGUUAGGUUUUAUGUUUACCAAACUUAGGUUUAAUGGCAGUCAGACGUGUAUAUCAUUUGUAUAUUUGAAUAUGGUUUGUAAACUUUAAUGUAUUAUAUUAUGUAUUGUAAAAGUAGUUUCAAGUACUAUCAUACUAUACCAUCUGUGCUCAUCUUCGUGUGAGACUACCGUUGUUAUUUCAA